AGCAGCCGCGGUAAUUCCAGCUCCAAUAGCGUAUAUUAAAGUUGUUGCAGUUAAAAAGCUCGUAGUUGAAUUUCGGGAUCAAUACGUCGGUCGUGCUUCGGUACGUACUGGCGUAACUGAUUUCUCCCUUCUGACGAACCAUGAUGUCAUUAACUUGGUGUCAUGGGAAAUCAGGACUGUUACUUUGAAAAAAUUAGAGUGUUUAAAGCAGGCUCACGCUUGAAUACAUUAGCAUGGAAUAAUGAAAUAGGACGUUCGAUCCUAUUUUGUUGGUUUUUAGGAUCAACGUAAUGAUUAAUAGGGAUAGUUGGGGGCAUUAGUAUUCAAUUGUCAGAGGUGAAAUUCUUGGAUUUAUUGAAGACUAACUACUGCGAAAGCAUUUGCCAAGGAUGUUUUCAUUAAUCAAGAACGAAAGUUAGGGGAUCGAAGACGAUCAGAUACCGUCGCAGUCUUAACCAUAAACUAUGUCGACUAGGGAUCGGAUGAUGUUAAUUUUUUGAAUGACUCAUUCGGCGCCUUA
This 520-nucleotide ribosomal RNA is filed under the name uncultured Glomus. RNAcentral's name for it is "SSU rRNA". It matches the Rfam family "Eukaryotic small subunit ribosomal RNA", at positions 569 to 1090 of the family's 1831-position model. Lineage: Eukaryota; Fungi; Glomeromycota; Glomeromycetes; Glomerales; Glomeraceae. The record is from RNAcentral.